GGUCUGACACUGGGAGUCUGAUUUGUGUUGCCUGCUCCGAGCAUUGGGGGUCUUAUUUUGGGGGUCUGAUUUGGAGGUCAGAUUAGGAUUGGGGAUCUCAUUUAGGAGUCUGAUCUGAGGUCUGAUGAAAAAUAUAUUUUUAGUUUUUUUUUUCUCUGCUAAUGAAAAAUAAAAAAAUAUUUUAGCAGACCUCAGAUCGGAU
Molecule: long non-coding RNA, 202 nt
Organism: Bufo bufo (common toad)
Lineage: Eukaryota; Metazoa; Chordata; Amphibia; Anura; Bufonidae
Exons: 2
Source: RefSeq, a predicted model, not a curated record